UNGUGCCGCCCUUGGUCAUGGUCAGCCU
RNAcentral lists this non-coding RNA (28 nucleotides) under Rattus norvegicus (Norway rat). The record is from RNAcentral. Lineage: Eukaryota; Metazoa; Chordata; Mammalia; Rodentia; Muridae.